This 183-nucleotide unclassified non-coding RNA is filed under the name Hypochniciellum molle. RNAcentral's name for it is "partial internal transcribed spacer 2". The record is from RNAcentral. Lineage: Eukaryota; Fungi; Basidiomycota; Agaricomycetes; Atheliales; Atheliaceae.
AAUUCUCAACCCUCUCGAUUUGCGUCGAGGGUGGCUUGGACUUGGAGGCUGCCGGCGUCUGUCGGCUCCUCUUAAAUGCAUUAGCGAAUUGAUAGCUUUGCGGUUGGUGUGAUAAUUAUCUACGCCUUCAAGCCGCUCUGUAGCUUCGCUUCUAACCGUCCUCGCGGACAACUUUAUCAUUGA